AUAUUUAUGACGGUCCCUAUUAAAGAAUUUGUCGUCUGGAAGUAAGUGAAAAAGAAAAACACGCGAGAUAUCUCUCUCACACUUGGUUGUCGCGAACAACCCUAGAUCGUCAUCUCUCUCUCUCUCUCUCUCUCUCUCUCUCUCUCUCUCACUGAUGAAUCGCGAAUUUGAACCCUAGCCUCCAAUCCCUUUCACUGAAUCACAAAUUAGUUUCCAAUUGAACCAAUUAGUUUUGUGAUUUAGGAAAAUCCAUCUCUUUUCUCCUCCCUCAUGUAGCUUGAAGCAAAGCCACUCUGCACCUAAAUUCCUUUCCCUACUGUCGUAGAUGUUUCUUCACCAACGAUUCAUUCUGCUCCGUGGUUCAUCAGGCUUCUACUCUUAUGGAAUUUAUGAGCAUUUACAUGGAUGGCCAGAUUUUGAUAUGAGUGAAACAAGGAUCACUUUCAAGCUUAGAAAAGACAAGUAAUCUGCUUUUUUCUUUUCCUUUUUAUAAAUUGUGUGUGUCUAUGUGUGUGUGUGUGUGGCUGGGUGUGUUUGUCAGAGAGAGAGAGAGGUUGGGACUGUUCAAAUCGGAGGAGAUCAAUUUAAAGCCUCUGCAAGUGGUAACUUUUCUCUUGAAAACCUCUUAAACUUAUAGUGUAUAUAAUUGAAUUUUUUGGAAUAUGACAAGUAAUAGGUUUUGUGCAGGUUGUAUCUUAUUACUUAUAUAAUAUAAUGUCAUGAGUUUGCUAGUGCUAUUUUUUCCUUGCCACUUUUUUGUUUUCUUGUCGUCAAUCAUAAUGUUUUUAAGCAGGUGGUUCAAACAUGGUUAAAGUUCUGGCCAUUGAAGCAUGAUUUCAAUGAAAAUAUAUAUGCACAUGGACUGCUUGUUAAAUUGAUACAAAGAUUUUAUCUGGACCUAACCGCCUGGGAACUGAGGAAGCUAUUAUUGUGAUGAUUGACUUCAUGGAAAAGCACGGUGGAAUGGGAAUUGGAACUGAGGAAGCAUCAAGCGCAACUAUACCUUCCUCUAUUUAUUAGGCUUCAAAUUGGAACUGAAGGAGGUGCAUGAUUUAUUGCUAUUAAAUUGAAUAGUAAAAUAUACAACAUUUGUGUUAAAAAAA
This is a long non-coding RNA of Trifolium pratense (red clover), 1103 nucleotides long. RefSeq lists it as uncharacterized. The record is from RefSeq and is a predicted model, not a curated record. The transcript is spliced from 4 exons. Lineage: Eukaryota; Viridiplantae; Streptophyta; Magnoliopsida; Fabales; Fabaceae.